UUUAAAUUAUAUUUUGUAAUUUAUAAAAGAUUCUUAUUUACGAUAAAUUUUAUUCGAAAAACUAAAUUUAUUUUAUUAGCACUUUAUAAAAAGAAUUAUUUUGGAAAUUAAUCUUGCUCAAAGUCACUUCUUUCCAUUUUCUUUUCCAAUUCCAAAAACAUAGCAAUAAAAUUCUGAAAAUUUAUCCCACAUAGUAGAUUCACCCAAAUACCCUUUUGACCCAUUGAAACCAAGUCAACCCUUUCUUUUCUCCUCUUCUCUGUCGUGUAACUUGGGCAAAUGGCAGCCAUGGUGUUUGCCAUAUAUUCUAUCUAAGAUCUCUAGCCUUGCUGAUUCACUCCCCUGAAUUACUAGCUUUCAUUAGUCAUCACCUCCUUUUUCCUAUUCCCUUACAUUUGUCAUCUAGAUUUCUUGCAAAUUAAAUCAUCAAUUACGUAAAUUGUUCAAUCCCAUUUCUAUGAAUAGCUCCUUUGAUUCAGAAUCUGCAAAAUCAAAUUCCAAAUUUUCACCAUUGAUAAACAUGGUGUUCUUCACCACCACCUUCGUUCCAGUUUCAGAACACCACCCCCACCGUCCCUGUUUUUUUUCCCUCCUUCGCCUCUCCCCUGCCUCCCUCGUCUCUUCCCCUUUGCUCCACCACUGUCACGCCACCACCACAUCGAAACCACCUCACCGCCUCUGGAGUAAAUCUCGCCUCCACCUCCGCCGUGAACCGCCUCCUUUCUCUUCGACUCCCCUGUCCUCCCUCCCCUGUUCGCGGCUUUGCGCACCCCUCCCCUUUCCUCCUUGUGUCGUCGCUGCACAACCACCAUCACCGGCGCCUCCAGGCGCGGUUCUCUGUGCUGCGCCGCCCAGCCCAGCCACCUCCGUCCUCCGUCCUCUCCUUCCUCUUUCUCGUGCCCUCCCCUGUUUCGGCCCCCUUUCCCUUCCCCUGCUCUUAUUCUUCUUUUUUUCCAGAAAACCAGUUUCAAUUUGAAACUUAAAUGAUCCUCCUCAAACCCAUAUUGUGUUGGGCCAUUUCAAUUCGGGACUUUGGAAUUGGACUCGGAGCUCGGGACGAACGAACCAAAGAAAGCAAAACCCAUAGCAAAUCGCGGAAGUGAGGUACUGCGGGGAACGAUGGAAACGAUUAGUGGCGAGGAAUUUCACUUUAAUAAUUUCCACCUAGUUUUUGUUUUAAGUUUUAAUAGUUUAUUUAAAGAUUUUUAGUAAGUUAUGUACUUUUACUUUGGGAAUAUAGAGGAUUAUUAUAUUAAAUUUGGAGUUUUAAUAGUUUAAGAUUAAUGAUUGCCUUGUAAUUCCCAAGAGGGAGUUACGGCAGGUAAUGUCCCGACCGAAUUAGGUUGAUUCCGCUGCUAAGUAUGCUUUAAUACUUGAAUUAGAGGUCGGGGCGUUACAGUUAUUUACUUUUGAAUUGAACAAAAGGAAAAUUAUGUUACCUAUUUUAGAGCAAAGAGACAAUCUUUAUCUUUAGUCCUUGUUGGUUUGUUUUAUAGAGGUGACUGGAAAUCUGACCUAUUAUGCCUGUUCUCAAGUAUUUUGGAUGCCCAUGAUCUUAUGCAAAAUUGGCGCAGAUUUCCAGA
Long non-coding RNA from Spinacia oleracea (spinach), 1583 nucleotides. RefSeq lists it as uncharacterized. The transcript has 3 exons. The record is from RefSeq and is a predicted model, not a curated record. NCBI's taxonomy places the organism in Eukaryota, Viridiplantae, Streptophyta, Magnoliopsida, Caryophyllales, Amaranthaceae.